RNAcentral lists this ribosomal RNA (468 nucleotides) under uncultured bacterium. Its description in RNAcentral is "partial 16S ribosomal RNA". It matches the Rfam family "Bacterial small subunit ribosomal RNA", at positions 28 to 507 of the family's 1533-position model. The record is from RNAcentral.
GACGAACGCUGGCGGCGUGCUUAACACAUGCAAGUCGAACGGAAAGGCCCUGCUUUUGUGGGGUGCUCGAGUGGCGAACGGGUGAGUAACACGUGAGUAACCUGCCCUUGACUUUGGGAUAACUUCAGGAAACUGGGGCUAAUACCGGAUAGGAGCUCCUGCUGCAUGGUGGGGGUUGGAAAGUUUCGGCGGUUGGGGAUGGACUCGCGGCUUAUCAGCUUGUUGGUGGGGUAGUGGCUUACCAAGGCUUUGACGGGUAGCCGGCCUGAGAGGGUGACCGGCCAAAUUGGGACUGAGAUACGGCCCAGACUCCUACGGGAGGGAGGAGUGGGGAAUAAUGCACAAUGGGCGGAAGCCUGAUGCAGCAACGCCGCGUGCGGGAUGACGGCCUUCGGGUUGGAAACCGCUUUCGCCUGUGACGAAGCGUGAGUGACGGUAAUGGGUAAAGAAGCACCGGCUAACUACGUG